GACGAACGCUGGCGGCGUGCUUAACACAUGCAAGUCGAACGGAAAGGCCCUGCUUUUGUGGGGUGCUCGAUUGGCGAACGGGUGUGUAACACGUGAGUAACCUGCCCUUGACUUUGGGAUAACUUCAGGAAACUGGGGCUAAUACCGGAUAGGAGCUCCUGCUGCAUGGUGGGGGUUGGAAAGUUUCGGCGGUUGGGGAUGGACUCGCGGCUUAUCCGCUUGUUGGUGGGGUAGUGGCUUACCAAGGCUUUGACGGGUAGCCGGCCUGAGAGGGUGACCGGGGACAAGGGGACUGAGAGACGGCGCAGACGGGUACGGGAGGCAGCAGUGGGGAAUAUGGCACAAUGGGCGGAAGCCUGAUGCAGCAACGCCGCGUGCGGGAUGACGGCCUUCGGGUUGUAAACAGCUUUCGCCUGUGACGAAGCGGGAGUGACGGUAAUGGGUAAAGAAGCACCGGCUAACUACGUG
This 468-nucleotide ribosomal RNA is filed under the name uncultured bacterium. RNAcentral describes it as "partial 16S ribosomal RNA". It matches the Rfam family "Bacterial small subunit ribosomal RNA", at positions 28 to 507 of the family's 1533-position model. The record is from RNAcentral.